CCUACGGGGUGCAGCAGUGAGGCAUAUUGGUCACUGGACGAGCGUCUGAACCAGCCAAGUAGCGUGAAGGAUGAAGGCUUUCGGGUUGUUAACUUCUUUUGACAGGGAAGAGUAGAAGACGGUAACUGUCGAAUAAGACACGGCUAACUACGUGCCAUCAGCCGCGGUAAUACGUAGGUGGCAAGCGUUGUGCGGAUUUACUGGGUGUAAAGGGAGUGUAGCCGGGUUGACAAGUCAGAUGUGAAAUCCUGCGGCUUAACCGUAGAACUGCAAUUGAAACUGGUGAUCGUGAGUACUGUAGAGGCAGACGGAAUUCCUAGUGUAGCGGUGAAAUGCUUAGAUAUCAGGAGGAACACCAGUGGCGAAGGCGGUCUGCUAGACAGUAACUGACGGUGAGGCGCGAAAGCGUGGGGAGCAAACAGGAUUAGAUACCCGAGUAGUC
This 442-nucleotide ribosomal RNA is filed under the name uncultured bacterium. RNAcentral describes it as "partial 16S ribosomal RNA". It matches the Rfam family "Bacterial small subunit ribosomal RNA", at positions 338 to 795 of the family's 1533-position model. The record is from RNAcentral.